UGCUUUAUUUUAAUCGCCUUAUCAUUUGUAUUGCGACGGAUGUAUUCCCCAUUUAUUCGUCCUUUUCCUCCACCGCCUCCGAAGUUCCCACCUUUACUUUUCCUUCAUCUUCCCCUGUUUCCACCGAUUCUUUCGCCACUUCCUCGAUCGGAUCGAUCAGGGUUCCCCUCUUUCUGAUCAUCUUCUCGGUUGUCGCUGCCCUUCGAACUUGAUUCCUAGGAAGCAUGGGGAAAAAUCUCUGACAGCCUCAUCCUGCCUCCGAUUCGAUUUCGCGUUCAACGAAGCUUACAUCCUGAUCGAUCCCCUGCAGAUUUAGUCCCUCCUGACUACUGAUUUUUUGUGCUUUUUUUGUUGGAAAAUUCGUCCCUUUUUGAGGGUUGAGAUCGAAUUUUAUUUGAUUUCUUAUGAAUCCGUCCUGAAAACCUCUUUUUUUCACCCAUCACGUCGAUUGGAGACUUCAGAUAUCCCUCUUUUAUCGAUCCUUGAAACUUAUUCUUAGUUCUUAAUCCUGUUCGGCUCCAAUAUCCUCGAUCUGCUUGUGUUCGCAUCUGUUCCAGUGCAUCAAAUGGCUCGAGAAAGUUGUAAUCUUGACAAAGACGAAGCCGAAAUCCUCAAACCUUCCUCCCCUUCCCCGUCGACCCCCGCUCCUCCAUCAUCGUCCCCGUUACCCCCGUCUCUGUUCUUGAAACCUUGCGAGCAAUCACCGAACCCGAGAGCGGAGACUACGGCUACGGAGACCGCCGUUGCGGCAUCUACCACGCCCAAGACCGACAAGGAGUCGAAGCCUGAGGAGGAAUCCAAACCGCAGGUAAAAUUCAUCAACGGGUGCUCUACUUGCGGGAGAAAGGUGGGGCUGACCGGAUUCCGGUGCCGAUGCGGGGAUCUCUUCUGCGGUCGGCACCGGUAUUCCGACACUCAUGAUUGCUCAUUCGAUUACAAGGCGUUGGGGAGGGAGGAGAUUGCUAAGGCUAAUCCUGUGGUCAAAGCUGCUAAGAUCAUCAAGAUCUAGGGUGUGUGUGAAGACCAGACUGGAAAUGAAAGCUAGUGGGCUUAUUACUUGCAGCAUCAUCCACCACAGUUGGCCUCAAGAAAUGCGUUUGUUCGGACUGCGCUCUUUAUGCAGUCUAAUUUGGAGGCUUGGGUGGAAGAAAACUGUUGUUUCAACGCUCUAUUCAAGAGGCUUUUGAUUAAAAGCAGUGUUCUCAUUGGCCAAGGGUAAGCCAAAGACAAAAUUGGUUGUCUUCCGAGUUCCUCACAUGGCGUUUGAAGCAGAUUGUGCUUGUGUUGGUUGAAGUCAAGGGACUUGACAAUGUCUUGCAACUUGCAAGUUCUUCUUGAUGAUAAAUCACGUUUUCUUUUGAUAA
Long non-coding RNA from Musa acuminata AAA Group (dessert banana), 1364 nucleotides. RefSeq lists it as uncharacterized. NCBI's taxonomy places the organism in Eukaryota, Viridiplantae, Streptophyta, Magnoliopsida, Zingiberales, Musaceae. The transcript has 2 exons. The record is from RefSeq and is a predicted model, not a curated record.